AGUAAUAUAUCGGAACGUGCCCAGUCGUGGGGGAUAACGCAGCGAAAGCUGUGCUAAUACCGCAUACGAUCUAUGGAUGAAAGCGGGGGAUCGCAAGACCUCGCGCGAUUGGAGCGGCCGAUAUCAGAUUAGCUAGUUGGCGGGGUAAAAGCCCACCAAGGCGACGAUCUGUAGCUGGUCUGAGAGGACGACCAGCCACACUGGAACUGAGACACGGUCCAGACUCCUACGGGAGGCAGCAGUGGGGAAUUUUGGACAAUGGGCGAAAGCCUGAUCCAGCAAUGCCGCGUGCAGGAUGAAGGCCUUCGGGUUGUAAACUGCUUUUGUACGGAACGAAACGGUCUCUCCUAAUACGAGGGGCUAAUGACGGUACCGUAAGAAUAAGCACCGGCUAACUACGUGCCAGCAGCCGCGGUAAUACGUAGGGUGCAAGCGUUAAUCGGAAUUACUGGGCGUAAAGCGUGCGCAGGCGGUGAUGUAAGACAGAUGUGAAAUCCCCGGGCUCAACCUGGGACCUGCAUUUGUGACUGCAUCGCUAGAGUACGGUAGAGGGGGAUGGAAUUCCGCGUGUAGCAGUGAAAUGCGUAGAUAUGCGGAGGAACACCGAUGGCGAAGGCAAUCCCCUGGACCUGUACUGACGCUCAUGCACGAAAGCGUGGGGAGCAAACAGGAUUAGAUACCCUGGUAGUCCACGCCCUAAACGAUGUCAACUGG
Molecule: ribosomal RNA, 714 nt
Filed under: uncultured bacterium
Lineage: Bacteria
Description: bacterial SSU rRNA
Rfam family: Bacterial small subunit ribosomal RNA
Source: RNAcentral